RNAcentral lists this RNase P RNA (370 nucleotides) under bovine gut metagenome. RNAcentral describes it as "Bacterial RNase P class A". It matches the Rfam family "Bacterial RNase P class A". Rfam says of the family: Ribonuclease P (RNase P) is a ubiquitous endoribonuclease, found in archaea, bacteria and eukarya as well as chloroplasts and mitochondria. The record is from RNAcentral.
CGGGUCGGGCGAUCGCGCGGUAUCACGCCGAAAGGUAUUACCGUGAGGAAAGUCCGGGCUUCACAGGGCAGGAUAACGGAUAACGUCCGCCGAGGGCGACCUCCGGGAAAGUGCAACAGAGAUAUACCGCAGAGCAUAUCGUUCUGUAAGGGUGGAAAGGCGAGGUAAGAGCUCACCCGAGCUUAUGGCAACAUAGGCCCGCUGUAAACCCUAUCCGAAGCAACGCCUAUGGGAUCCGCGCUUUGGCGCGGCUGUCUGCCCGGCAGAUCCCAUUGAUUGCGGCAAGCGGCUCUGCCCGCUGAGCGCGUCGGCGACGGCGCGCCUAAGAUAGAUGAUCGUCCGCGACAGAACCCGGCUUACAGACCCGGUC